Molecule: long non-coding RNA, 1985 nt
Organism: Meriones unguiculatus (Mongolian gerbil)
Lineage: Eukaryota; Metazoa; Chordata; Mammalia; Rodentia; Muridae
Exons: 5
Source: RefSeq, a predicted model, not a curated record
CCGGGGAGGAGGAGUCGGGUGAUCCGGGCUGACCUCUUCCUAGAACAUGUGCUCUACCCGGGGUCUACCACGGGAAGAACAGAGCUGGGGAGCCUUACCCAGGAAUCUCUGCGCCGUUAAACCACUGAUGACCACUGGAUGGUGCUGUGAUCCACAGUUUCAGGCUCCAAAGGGCAGCCUGAAAGCCAAGUUCUGGAAGUGUGCUGCCCUUCAAAGACAAAAGACUUAAAAAGCUUCCCGGUGCAUUGCUUUUCUGUGUUACGGCCUACCUGAUACCUCACUAGGCGUGAGCUUAGAAAGUGAAUGGUCACCAGAGGUGUUGAGCUCGGGUGGGAGAGGGCAGGGCCAGAACCUUCCGCUACAGGCCUUGCGCUCGAGAACAGCCCAGCAUGGGGCCAGAACCUUCCGCUAAGAGAACAGCCUAGCGUGGGGCCUCCCAGCACACUUGGAAAGAAGCCAUAUCUUUUAGGCAGAGAACUGGGCCUUUCAUCUAAGGAAAUAUUGAGCAAAUAUUUAAAAACCACGGAUUUAAACAAUCACAGUGUCAGCCUGCCUCGAGCUGGUCCUAGGCAUGGCUGCUGUGUUCCUUCUGCUUCGUCCUGACGUUCCAUGGCUAACCAGGUGGGGACUCCUUCCGCUAAGAAAAUUCUCUCUCUCUCUGAAAAUGUCUACAAGGCAUUGCUUGUAGAUGGAUACCUUAAGAACCCAAACUAAAUCUGCUGGAGGAGAAAGUGGGGAAGAGCCUGGAACUCAUUGGCACAGGAGACAACUUCCUGAACAGAACACCAAGAGCACAGGCUCUAAGAUCAACAAUCAAUAAAUGGGACCUCAUGAAACUGAAAAGCUUCUGUAAAGCAAAGGACACCAUUGUCAGAACAAAACAACAGCCUACAGACUGGGAAAGGAUCUUUACCAACCCUAUAUCUGACAGAGGGCUGAUAUCCACAAUAUAUAAAGAACUCAAGAAAUUAAAUGCCAACAAACCAAAUAAUCCAAUUAAAAAUGGGGUACAGAGCUAAACAGAGAAUUCUCAAUAGAGGAAUAUCAAAUGGCAGAGAAACACUUAAAGAAAUGCUCACCUUCCAUAAUCAUCGGGAAAUGCAAAUCAAAAUGACUCCGAGAUUCUAUCUUACUCCUAUCAGAAGGGCUAAGAUAAAAAACUCAAGUGAUAACACAUGCUGGAGAGGAUGUGGAGAAAAGGGAACCUCCUUCCUUGCUAAUAGGAGUGUAAACUUGUACAACCACUUUGAAAACCAAUGUGUUGCUUUCUCAGAAAAACUGGGACUAGCCAUACCUCAGGACCCAGCUAAACAACUCCUGGGUAUACAUCCAAAAGAUGCUCCACUAUACCACAAGGUCGUUUGCUUGACCACGUUCAUAGCAGUUCGUAAUAGCCGGAAACUGGAAACAACCUAGAUGUCCCUGGGUCAAAGAAUGGAAAAAGAAACUGUGGCACAUUUACACAAUGGAAUACUACUCAGCCAUUAAAAACAAAGAAAUCAUGACAUUUGCUGCCAAAUGGCUGGAACUAGAGAAGAUCAUCCUGAGAAACACACACACAGUAUGUACUCACUUACAGGUGAAUUUUAGUCAUAUACUACAGGAUAGACCUACUACCAUGUACAGAUUCCAUGAAGAUCAGUAACAGGGAGGACCCAAGGGAGGACACAAAGCUCGGUCAGAAGGAGAAACAGAAUAGACAGAGGUGAUGGUGGAAGAGCAGGAACAGGACCGUCAGAGCCAAUCAACCAGGGCCCGGAGGGGCCUCUGGAGUCAACCAAGGAAAACACGUGGUCUGGACCUAGGUCCCCUUAGGGCAUCUAAGCUUCACAUGGGCCCCCUGGUUAGGGGAGUAGGGGACAUCUCUGACAUGGACGAGGUUACCGGCUUUCUGAUCACUUCGCCCUGAGGGGACUGCCUCGCAGGCCACAGGGGAGGAAAACGAAUUCAGUCCUCAUGUGAAUAGAUGAGCUAGGGUAUCUGGA